AAAACCUGACCCGGUAACUGCUGACUGCCUUGACCACCGAUGGAAAUGGUUUAAGGGUUGCCUAGGAGCCUUGGAUGGUACAUACAUCGACGUACUUGUACCUAAUGCGGACAAGCCGAGGUACCGAACUCGAAAGGGACGUAUAUCAACAAACACAUUGGCUGUGUGUGAUCGAUAUAUGAGAUUUGUGUACGUUUUACCCGGUUGGGAAGGCUCGGCUGCGGAUUCUAGAGUACUUCGUGAUGCUGUCAAUCGAGUUCAUGGAUUGCGAGUGCCAAAAGGGAAUUAUUAUCUUUGCGAUAAUGGAUAUGCGAACAGUGAAGGGUUCUUGACCCCGUACAAGGCAGUUAGAUACCAUCUCAAGGAGUGAGGACCAACAACAGAUUUGCCACAAAAUCCAAAGGAAAUGUUUAACAUGAGACACACAAGAGCACGUAACGUAAUUGAGAGAGCUUUUGCCGUGUUAAAAAUGCGCUGGGGGAUUCUGCGUAGUGCAGCAUUUUAUCCCACCAAAGUGCAGGUUCGAAUAAUCAUGACUUGUUUUUUGCUACAUAACUUCAUUCGCUCCCAGAUGGCAUCUGAUCCGAUAGAGCAAGCACUUGAUGGUGGUCAUGAGGGAGACAAUGUUGAACAUGAAGAUGAGGUUGACAAUGUUGAACAUGCAGAUGAAGGGGGAGAAUUUGUUGAUGUGAUAGAACCUUCAACAGAGUGGAACCAAAAACGAGAUGAAAUGGCACUAGCCAUGUGGAACUAUGGACAUGUAGCUGGGGAUUGAGGACGAGAGGUUAGUUUCGGUUUGUCGUUGCGGAGGCGGUAAAAUGAAACUUAAAUUUCCAGAUAGUUUUUAUCUUCAUGGCUAUUUUGCUAGUUUUGUUUGGCUUUGUAAUAGGGCGACUAGUAUGAAGCAAGAUGGAAGUGGUAUUUAGUAGCCUAUGUGCAGACUUUGUAUUAUGAUUUUGGGCAUUUUAAUGUCAUAAUACUUCUCCUAUUGUUGUAUAAAGUUUAUCACGUUUCAUUUGGG
This is a non-coding RNA of Salvia hispanica, 1021 nucleotides long. NCBI's taxonomy places the organism in Eukaryota, Viridiplantae, Streptophyta, Magnoliopsida, Lamiales, Lamiaceae. The record is from RefSeq and is a predicted model, not a curated record.